UCCUUGUGCUGGUCCGACCGU
This 21-nucleotide non-coding RNA is filed under the name Arabidopsis thaliana (thale cress). Lineage: Eukaryota; Viridiplantae; Streptophyta; Magnoliopsida; Brassicales; Brassicaceae. The record is from RNAcentral.